UACGUAGGGUGCAAGCGUUAAUCGGAAUUACUGGGCGUAAAGCGUGCGCAGGCGGUUCUGUAAGUCCGGUGUGAAAUCCCCGGGCUUAACCUGGGAACUGCAUUUGUGACUGCAUAGCUAGAGUACGGUAGAGGGGGAUGGAAUUCCGCGUGUAGCAGUGGAAUGCGUAGAUAUGCGGAGGAACACCGAUGGCGAAGGCAAUCCCCUGGACCUGUACUGACGCUCAUGCACGAAAGCGUGGGGAGCAAACAGG
This 253-nucleotide ribosomal RNA is filed under the name uncultured bacterium. RNAcentral describes it as "partial 16S ribosomal RNA". It matches the Rfam family "Bacterial small subunit ribosomal RNA", at positions 524 to 776 of the family's 1533-position model. The record is from RNAcentral.